Molecule: ribosomal RNA, 261 nt
Filed under: Chloropicon primus
Lineage: Eukaryota; Viridiplantae; Chlorophyta; Chloropicophyceae; Chloropicales; Chloropicaceae
Description: partial Eukaryotic small subunit ribosomal RNA
Rfam family: Eukaryotic small subunit ribosomal RNA
Source: RNAcentral
GUAGGAUAGAGGCCUACCAUGGUUAUGACGGGUAACGGGGGAUUAGGGUUCGAUUCCGGAGAGAGAGCCUGAGAAACGGCUCUCAUAACUAAGGUUAGCAGCAGGCGCGCAAAUUAUCCACUCUCAAUACGAGGAGAUAGUGACAAUAAAUAACAAUAGAGGGCUCUUUUGGGUCUUCUAAUUGGAAUGAGUACAAUUUAAACCCCUUAACGAGGAUCAAUUGGAGGGCAAGUCUGGUGCCAGGAGCCGCGGUAAUUCCAG